RNAcentral lists this non-coding RNA (30 nucleotides) under Homo sapiens (human). The record is from RNAcentral. Lineage: Eukaryota; Metazoa; Chordata; Mammalia; Primates; Hominidae.
UAGAAUUAGUUGUAGGCGACAGUGACUGGU